AAGUCGUAACAAGGUUUCCGUAGGUGAACCUGCGGAAGGAUCAUUAUCGAGUUUUGACCGGGUUGUAGCUGGCCUUCAGAGGCAUGUGCACGCCCUGCUCAUCCACUCUACACCUGUGCACUUACUGUGGGCUUCAGAUCGCGAGGCAGGCUCUUUACCGGGCUUGCGGAGCGCAUCUGUGCCUGCGUUUAUCACAAACUCUAUAAAGUAACAGAAUGUGUAUUGCGAUGUAACGCAUCUAUAUACAACUUUCAGCAACGGAUCUCUUGGCUCUC
This 275-nucleotide unclassified non-coding RNA is filed under the name Ganoderma lucidum. RNAcentral's name for it is "partial internal transcribed spacer region". The stretch from base 1 to 46 matches the Rfam family "Eukaryotic small subunit ribosomal RNA", at positions 1786 to 1831 of the family's 1831-position model. Lineage: Eukaryota; Fungi; Basidiomycota; Agaricomycetes; Polyporales; Polyporaceae. The record is from RNAcentral.